UAGAAUGAAGCUCGCUGGAUUGAGUGCUUAGCUGUUAACUAAGAGGUCGCGGGGUCGAAGCCCGCUGUUCUAG
Molecule: transfer RNA, 73 nt
Filed under: Staurois latopalmatus (Sabah splash frog)
Lineage: Eukaryota; Metazoa; Chordata; Amphibia; Anura; Ranidae
Description: tRNA-Asn
Rfam family: tRNA
About the family: Transfer RNA (tRNA) molecules are approximately 80 nucleotides in length. Their secondary structure includes four short double-helical elements and three loops (D, anti-codon, and T loops). Further hydrogen bonds mediate the characteristic L-shaped molecular structure. tRNAs have two regions of fundamental functional importance: the anti-codon, which is responsible for specific mRNA codon recognition, and the 3' end, to which the tRNAs corresponding amino acid is attached (by aminoacyl-tRNA synthetases). tRNAs cope with the degeneracy of the genetic code in two manners: having more than one tRNA (with a specific anti-codon) for a particular amino acid; and 'wobble' base-pairing, i.e. permitting non-standard base-pairing at the 3rd anti-codon position.
Source: RNAcentral